CACAACCACAGACCAUCUUUCAAAAAAAAGAAAAAAAAACAACCACAGUUAUUCGAGGUAUUCGAGGUUCGAGCUAGAGCGGCGUCAGCUUGCAUUGCUUCGAGCUAGCUAGAGAGGCCGAAACGAUGGCAGCCAAGUUUCCUUCUGCGGCCUGCAAGGUCGUCCUCGUCGUCGUCGCGGUGGCCGUGAUCGGCCUCCUCUUCUCCACUACUGCCGGUGAAGCUAGCUAGCAUCCUCCAUGGCUCCAUUAUCGACAUUUGAUUUUAUCCCCGGGUAGAUGCAGGCCAGUUUUGACGUACGUGACACCAUCGCUUGUCUAAUGCAGGUGCAAGGGAAGCGGUGACGACGGGGGCCCAGGCGCAGUGCAACCCCCUGGUGUGGGGAAAAAAAUUAGGUGAGGACCGUCCGCAAAUUCAUCGCUGUGCGGCCCCCGUCUCGAAUACGUCCGCUGGCGGAUCGACGUCUCCGCACGCGCCUCGCUCGCUCGGCUCCUCCGCGCAUGCCUCGCUCGCUCGGCUCUCCCGUCCUCUGGUUCCGCAGGGGCUAGCUCGCUCGCACGGCUCGCUCGUUCCUCUGAUUCCGCGCCUGCUCGAUCGCUAGCUCGCCCGGCUCGCUCGUUCGUCUGGUUUUCGCAAACGCACCGCCCAGUUGCUAGAUCUCGCGACCGUCCUCCUCCUCCGUCCACCGCCGGCCACCCCCGCCGCCCUCGAGCCCGGCGGCCGCCCCCGCCACCGUCUCCCUCAUCCGCCGGCGUCUUCCUCCGUCGUCCGCCGCCGGCCGCCCCCGCUGCCCUCGAGCCCGGCGGUCGGCCCGGCCACUGUCUCCCUCGUCCGCCGGCGCGUCUUCCUCCGUCGUCCUCCGCCGGCCGGCCCCGUCGUCCUCCGUCAUCCGCUGCCGUCUUCCUCCUUCGUCCGCCGCCGAUCGUCCCGCCGCCCUCGAGCAAAUGAAGGCAACACUAACCAUUCAGAUCUCAGUUCACAACACUGAAAGAGCACUAUGCUGUUUCAGGAGAAAGAAAUAUAAACGAUAAUCUGGAACUAGUUCAUGAGCCAGAAAAUACUGCCAGAUCAAGUGGUGAGUUUCUCCAGAGAAGUGUGUCAGCAACUGAUCUAGAUAUAACUGAAUUGGCACCACAGAACACUCACCAUGUUGCUUUAGAAGACGCAGAUGUUAAAGAUGUUCGCGGGGAUAUCUGUGUUUCACAAGCUGGUGCUGAUUUCGAAACAACUGGUGAAGUUGAAGGUUGUAUUAAGAAAAUUGAACCCAUAGGUGACAUGGGGACACAUAAACUGGUAGUCCAAGAUCCUUCUGAUGAGCUGGUAAUGCAGAACAUUACCAAAAGAAUUUCACUGGAGAGGAAACAGGUGAACCGGACUGCGACUCCUCAAGCAUCUCAUGGAGGCAUCUGCUGUCAGAGCUCCCUUUAGUAUCUUCCUGGAAAUCUUGAUAUGCAAUGCUGAGAAAAUCCUUCAGCUCAGCGAAACCAUCAUGAGCACCGAACCGUGAUGCAGAGGCCGUUCUCAUUCCUUCAUGAUCAAUUGACUGGUUUGUUCUAUCCUGCAACAAUGCCAAAUUCACUGAAAGCUCACAAAUGUAGGUAAGAUCAACUCUUGUAUGCACAUACAGCAUUGCAUCAGGAUAAGCGGACAGAAUAUGAUACUUACCUCCGAAGAAUUCAGCCAUCUUGCAACAACAGAGUUUCCCGAUCUUCCUAACUGAGGGCAUAUAGACAAUACAGCAACUACACUGACAACAUGAUUUCGCCUAUUGGUUAUUGAACUAUAUAUAGAUGCAGACAAUGCAGCAAUACUGAAGAUGAUCUCUCAGAUGGUACUAUCACAAGAUGGUGUCCUGCGUCAGAAAAUAGGAAGUUUGCAACCUAGAUUUUCUUAUGCAGUUGUAACAUUUUCCACCAUUGUCAGAUUCUUGUUGUGGCUCCUUCAAUUUGAAACAGAUUAAUGUUGUAGUUUGUACUUUGUAGUAAUCACAGAUGUACAUGAUGAUCAAUGUAUCACCUUUUCUUGACAUGAUCAAUGUAUCACCUUUUCUUUUGAUAUGAAAUAUAUAUGGAUGUGUUGGAAAAAAA
Molecule: long non-coding RNA, 2086 nt
Organism: Setaria italica (foxtail millet)
Lineage: Eukaryota; Viridiplantae; Streptophyta; Magnoliopsida; Poales; Poaceae
Exons: 3
Source: RefSeq, a predicted model, not a curated record